This 69-nucleotide antisense RNA is filed under the name Saccharothrix australiensis. RNAcentral describes it as "ASpks TB sRNA". It matches the Rfam family "ASpks TB sRNA". Lineage: Bacteria; Bacillati; Actinomycetota; Actinomycetes; Pseudonocardiales; Pseudonocardiaceae. The record is from Rfam by way of RNAcentral.
CUUCAGCGAGCCCAGCCACAGCGGCUCGUCCCGGUCCGCGCCGUAGGUCGCGAGCAGCGCCUGCGCCUC